Molecule: ribosomal RNA, 497 nt
Filed under: uncultured bacterium
Lineage: Bacteria
Description: partial 16S ribosomal RNA
Rfam family: Bacterial small subunit ribosomal RNA
Source: RNAcentral
GAUGAACGCUGGCGGCGUGCCUAAUACAUGCAAGUCGAGCGAACAGGUGAGUAGCUUUCUCGUCGGAGGGGAGCGGCGGACAGGUGGUGAACACGUGGAUAACCUACUGAUAAGUCUUGGAGGACAACGUGAAACAGGAGCGAAUACCAGGGGAUAUAUUGAGCCGGAUGCUUCAAGGGUGAGGGAAGGUUUUGGUGUCGGUGGGGGAUGGAUCCGCGCCGUAUUAGCUAGUUGGUAAGGUGACGGCUUACCAAGGCAACGAUGAGUAGCCGACCUGAGAGGGGGGUCGGCCACCACGGAACUGAGACGACGCCGAGACUCCUACGGGAGGCAGCAGUAGGGGAUAUUCCGCAAUGGGCGACAGACUGCUGGAGCAGCGCCGCGUGGGUGAUGAAGGUCUUCGGCUCGUAAAGCUCUGUUAUCAGGGAAGAACCAAUGUGUCAGUGUCUGUGCGUGUCUUGACGGUACCUAAACAGAAAGCCCCGGCUAACUACGUG